RNAcentral lists this long non-coding RNA (400 nucleotides) under Homo sapiens (human). Its description in RNAcentral is "HSALNT0320159". Lineage: Eukaryota; Metazoa; Chordata; Mammalia; Primates; Hominidae. The record is from RNAcentral.
AGAAAUUUUAUUUUGGCCAGGAGCUGAAGUUGGUUGUUUAGUAGUAGUAGUUUGAGUAGUGACCGAAGUAGUAGUCUGGUGUGUGGGUGCAGCUGAAGUUUCAGAAGUGUCAGGUGCAAGAGUAGUUGGGGAAGAAUUAGGUGUGGGUGGGGCAGCUGUGGUCUCUGGUGGAGCUGAGGCGGAUGAUGGGUCUAGGGUAGUUGCAGAAGGUGUGGGUGGGGCAGCUGUGGUCUCUGGUGGAGCUGAGGAAGAUGGUGGAGCUGGUGUAGUUGCAGAAGGUGUGGGUAGGGUUGACCACACUGCUAUUUUUAUCUGGAUGUUUAGGUGAAGGUGGAAGCUUAGGCCUACAGCGUUUGUGCAGACAUUUAUAGGACUUUCUAAUGAACGGCUUCUGGUGAGC